GACGAACGCUGGCGGCGUGCUUAACACAUGCAAGUCGAACGGUGAAGGGAAGCUUGCUUUUUGGAUCAGUGGCGAACAGGUGAGUAACACGUGGGCAACCUGCCCCUGACUUUGGGAUAACUCCUCGAAAGAGGGGCUAAUACCGGAUACGACCACUGGCGGCAUCGCCUGGUGGUGGAAAGCUCCGGCGGUCAGGGAUGGGCCCGCGGCCUAUCAGCUUGUUGGAGGGGUAACGGCCCCCCAAGGCGACGACGGGUAGCCGGCCUGAGAGGGCGACCGGCCCCACUGGGACUGAGACCCGGCCCCGACUCCUACGGGAGGCAGCAGUGGGGAAUAUUGGUCAAUGGGCGAAAGCCUGAACCAGCAACGCCGCGUGAGGGAUGAAGGCCUUCGGGUUGUAAACCUCUUUCAGCAGGGACGAAGCGAAAGUGACGGUAAAGGCAGAAGAAGCACCGGCUAACUACGUGCCAGCAGCCC
RNAcentral lists this ribosomal RNA (477 nucleotides) under uncultured bacterium. RNAcentral describes it as "bacterial SSU rRNA". It matches the Rfam family "Bacterial small subunit ribosomal RNA", at positions 28 to 517 of the family's 1533-position model. The record is from RNAcentral.